This 460-nucleotide ribosomal RNA is filed under the name uncultured bacterium. RNAcentral describes it as "partial 16S ribosomal RNA". It matches the Rfam family "Bacterial small subunit ribosomal RNA", at positions 338 to 795 of the family's 1533-position model. The record is from RNAcentral.
CCUACGGGGGGCAGCAGUGAGGAAUAUUGGUCAAUGGGCGCUAGCCUGAACCAGCCAAGUAGCGUGAAGGAUGACUGCUCUAUGGGUUGUAAACUUCUUUUAUAUGGGAAUAAAGUGCAGUAUGUAUACUGCUUUGCAUGUACCUUAUGAAUAAGGAUCGGCUAACUCCGUGCCAGCAGCCGCGGUAAUACGGAGGAUCCGUGCGUUAUCCGGAUUUAUUGGGUGUAACGGGAGCGUAGGCGGGUUGUUAAGUCAGUUGUGAAAGUUUGCGGCUCAACCGUAAAAUUGCAGUUGAUACUGGCAGCCUUGAGUACAGUAGAGGUAGGCGGAAUUCGUGGUGUAGCGGUGAAAUGCUUAGAUAUCACGAAGAACUCCGAUUGCGAAGGCAGCCUGCUGGACUGUAACUGACGCUGAUGCUCGAAAGUGUGGGUAUCAAACAGGAUUAGAUACCCUAGUAGUC